RNAcentral lists this ribosomal RNA (250 nucleotides) under uncultured bacterium. Its description in RNAcentral is "partial 16S ribosomal RNA". It matches the Rfam family "Bacterial small subunit ribosomal RNA", at positions 524 to 773 of the family's 1533-position model. The record is from RNAcentral.
UACGUAGGCAGCGAGCGUUGUUCGGAGUUACUGGGCGUAAAGGGUGUGUAGGCGGUUCUCUAAGUUUGGUGUGAAAUCUCCCGGCUCAACCGGGAGGGUGCGCCGAAAACUGGAGGGCUAGAGUGCGGGAAGGGAGAGUGGAAUUCCUGGUGUAGCGGUGAAAUGCGUAGAUAUCAGGAGGAACACCGGUGGUGCAGACGGCUCUCUGGACCGCGACUGACGCUGAGACACGAAAGCGUGGGUAGCAAAC